Molecule: long non-coding RNA, 3428 nt
Filed under: Homo sapiens (human)
Lineage: Eukaryota; Metazoa; Chordata; Mammalia; Primates; Hominidae
Description: HSALNT0135464
Source: RNAcentral
UUAGCUCACAAUUAUACAGCAAAGUCUCCUGGGAGGGUUUAUAUGUUAAGCUCUGUCAGUAAUUUCUCCCCUAGCAAGAAUGAGGAAGAUGAAGAGCUCGGGUAUCUGAGGGCUGGUGUGUCUGCAUGCGUGUGUGUUUUGGGGGCCGACUGAAGGAAGAGAAGGCUGGAGAGAGGGAACAUGGGUCUGAGGGCACAUCGCUAAGGGGUCAAGAGGCCUAAAGGAGGAGUCUAAGGCUCUCCAUCGAACUUGGACUUGGUCUACAUUAGACUUUAACCUCCAUGAGGCUUGGACUUUCAGGCUUCCUCCCUCACACCGCGGGCAGGUGAGGCGUCUGCUACAGGCCUGGUCUCGCAGAGGGGGCCCAGCGCCCCCCGCCGCCGCCUUCUCCUGGAGUCUGUGUGACAGAAUGGGACCUGUGGGAAAGCAGCACGUCAGCACCCAGCCCCGCUUGCGCGCCAGCAGCUAAUUAAAGCCAGGAAGGUGAUGGCGAUUUUCAACUCAUUCCCGUUACAAACAGCCGACCUUCCUACCGAGUUCAAGUACCUUCUGCCUGGCCUGGAAGAACAAUAUCUCUCUGUCUCCCUCUUCCACUGGCCCUCACCUGCCUUCCCCUGAACAUGCAUUUUGCCUGACAGGAGACAGAGGCAGUUGAUGCUUGCAGCUUGGUCCAGGAGGCCAGCAGGACCAGAGAGAAGACCACAGCGACACAUGGGGAUGGCUGUCCCACAGGCAGAAAUGAGCAGCCGGGAGGAAGCCCAGGCAGCCAGCCACCCAGCUCCCUCCACAUCGUGGCCCUAGAACGGAGUCUUGAAGAAUAAGAAGCCACAGCUUGUCAGGGAAUCAGGCUGGAAAAAUGUUAUGAGACUGAGUAAGACCAGAGUUUCUGGGUCAUUGGUGAGACUGGAUUUCAUAGAAGAGUCUUUGCUACAGCAAAACCUCUCUUCAAGCAAUACACUAUUCAAGCUGCUGGAGGCUAGAUUGACCAGAAAAAUGGGGCCAAUAUCAUGAUUCCUCAGCAGUGCCUGGAGAAGACCAGGAGAGGAAGCAGAAGACCCUCCUCAAAGAAGCAGCCUUCACCUCCAGACCUCCCAGCGGGACUUAGACAAUGGGGUUAGGCAGUCACAUGUCUGCACGUGGAAACUUUCUGGGACUGUGCUUGGAUCCUGGCUCUGCCUUUUACUAGCCAUGUGACCUUGGGAAAAUCACUUGACUUCUCCGUGCAGGAUUCCUCAUCUGUAAAAAUGGUCUAAGAUUAGGAGCCACCUCAAGGUUGUUGUAGGAAUUAAAUUAAUUCAUGUUUAUAAAGUGCUUUGAACAGCGUUUGGCACAUGAGUUGUGAUACCCAUGAGUUAGUCAGCUUGGGCUAUCAUAACAAAAUACCACACAUUGGUUGGCUUAAACAACAGAAAUUCAUUUUCCUGUAAUUCUGGAGGCUGGAAGUCCAAGAUCAAGGUGACGACAGAGUUGGGUUUCCUCUGAAGCCUCUCUCCUUGGUUUUCAGAUGGGUGUCCUCUUGCUGUCUCUUCAUGUGACUGUCCCUCUGCAUGUGUGCCCCUGGGGACUCUUUCUUAUCUUAUAGUGACACUAGUUCUAUUGGAUUGAAGUGUACCCAUACGACCUCAUUUAAACUUAAUUACAUAUUGUAAGGCCCUAACUUCAAAUACAGUCACAUCCUGAGGUACUGUGUAUUAGGGCUUCAACAUAUAAAUUUUGGGGCAAUCCAGUUCAGCCCAUAAAAUCCCUUUUUGGUUGCUUGAUUCUGUUUAUUUGGUGUCAUGCCUUCCUUUUCCUAAAGAACUUCAUGAAUAGAAUUACUUUCUAAGUGAAAGGAACAAAACUGAUUUUUAUUAAAAAUUAUUUUGAGAUGCUUGUGACAAAUUUUGAAGUAAGUGAAGAUUUUCCUGGAGCUUCUACAAAAUCCUGGCUGAGAAUCCCUGCUUUCUGGACAGUUGAGAAGGAAAUACACUUAGUACAGCUGUUAGAGAGAUAUAGUUGCAACCACUGAGUGCUUAUUAUCUGCCAACUUAAAUAUAUUGCCCAAGGGAAUAACAAAUAUUCUAGUGUUCUUGUUAAGUAUAUUGUCUAAGGUCACACAGCUCUUAAACAACAGCUUCAGGAUUUGAACCUGGAAUCUAUCUGACUCCUAAGUCCAGAUGCUGUUCACCACAUUAGGUUGAAGCAUGGCCAGUGUUCAUAACAUACAACUAUGUCUCCAUAUCUUUUGCUAACCAAUGUUCUUGUAUGUGCAUACCUUACAGGGCAGCCAUUCACCACAAGCCCUACUAGAUGGCUUCCUGUAAUAAGGGUAGAACAGUAGUACUCUCCUUUUGAGAAGUUAUUUGUAAUUUUGUUGGUGGGCUGACAUUUAGGCCCUGCUCUCCAGCCCCAGAGGGGAUCCCAUAACCUAGAUCAGGCCAAUGAUGAUUAUCUCCGUGACUGUAGUGGCUGGUCCAGCGGGGAGGGUCAGGCAGGUAAGCUGGCCCAACCUGAGUCCUUCUUGAGGAUUUUAGAAACUGAAGGUAGGAGAGAAAAAUUCUCUCUUUUCUUCUGGGGAACGGGAUGAAGGUGGUGGGUAGGCAGAGCUGUUGGGAUGUGGAUCCAGGGAUUCUGGAAGUCCUGUCCUCCACCAUGUAAAGAAUACAUCCUGCAGAAGGAGAGAAGGGAGCCAGCACACAGAGAAGCAGAGUCAGGAGAUGGAGAAGGAGAAUCCUGAGAGCCUGAAGGUCCCUGGGUCCAGCCAUUGUCAAGGCCGAGUUCUACCGUCCUUAAGUUGUUUACCUUUCUUUCUUGCUUGCUUCUGUUAGAAGAUGAACACUCAAUGAAAAAUCACCAAACAUCUGAGGAAAGCCAUCAAAAUGAAAUAAACGAAACACACAAGUUCCUAAACACAAGUGAACAGCGUGGGCUGGGUUUUUGUCGCUUGGAACUGGAAACGCUGACGAUAAUGCUGACCUCUGAGCAGACCCACGUGAGGGGCAGCUGUGGUGUGGUGUGAUGAUGCUGGGAUAGGCACUCAGAUGGUUGAGUCUGAGUUUGGCUCUGAUAUUAUAUCAACUGCAUGGGCAGCUGUGGUGUGGUGUGAUGAUGCUGGGAUAGGCACUCAGAUGGUUGAGUCUGAGUUUGGCUCUGAUAUUAUAUCAACUGCAUGGGCAGCUGUGGUGUGGUGUGAUGAUGCUGGGAUAGGCACUCAGAUGGUUGAGUCUGAGUUUGGCUCUGAUAUUAUAUCAACUGCAUGGGCAGCUGUGGUGUGGUGUGAUGAUGCUGGGAUAGGCACUCAGAUGGUUGAGUCUGAGUUUGGCUCUGAUAUUAUAUCAACCGCAUCAUUUUGGGGAAGACACAAUUUCUCAGAAUUUUAUUUAGUUGUAAAAUAAAGAUAAUGAUAUUACAUGCUCUGUCUACCAUCUAGAGUUUUUGUCAAGACAAAC